AUGAGCCAUGUCGUCCAGAUCGUGUCCCGGCGCAUGGUCCUGCCGGAGCCGACGCCUUGGCUGCCGUCGGAGCCAGAGACGACCAUCGACCUGACGCCAUGGGACCUCCGGAUGAUCACCGUGGAGUACACCCAGACGGGCGUCCUCCUGCCCAAGCCCCCCGCCACGGGAGAGCACGGUCACCACGCCCCUGUCGUCGAACGCCUCACGUCGUCCUUCGCGCGCGCGCUGGGCCGCUUCUACCCCUACGCCGGCCGCCUUGUCGUCGCGCCGGGCGGGGAGGGUGGGAGCAUCUCCGUAUCGCUCCGCUGCAGCAUGGAGGGCGCCGAGUUCGUCCACGCCGUGGCUCCCGGCGUCACCGUGGCCGACGUCGUCGCGCCGCUGUACACCCCCGUGGCGGUCCGGUCCUUCUUCCCCCUCGACGGGCUGUUCGGCGUGGACACCGUGGCGGGCUCCCACCCGGUCCUGACCGCGCAGGUCACCGAGCUCGACGACGGUGUCUUUGUCGCCAUGUCGCUCAACCACGUGGUCGGUGACGGGACGGCCUUCUGGCAUUUCUUCAACACCUGGUCUGAGAUCAGCCGUCGUGAUACUGACGAUGCCGCCAUCUCCUCGCCGCUGCCGGUGCACCGCAGGUGGUUCCUUGAUGGCUGCCGUGUCCCGAUCCCUCUGCCAUUCGCCAAACUGGAGGAUAUCGUCAGCUAUGGGCACCCAUCAUCGGUGCAGCCGCAGGACUGCUUCCUCCAUUUCUCCGCGGAGAGCGUAAAGAAGCUCAAAGCGAAGGCGAACGCCGAGGCGUCCGGCACCGGCAGCACCACCAUCUCCUCCUUGCAGGCCCUGCUGGCGCACCUGUGGGUCGCGGUGAGCCGAGCCAGGAGGCUGGCGGCCUGGCGCCGGACCAGAGCACAACGUACGUCCUCCUUGUCGGAUCCCGGGGCCGCGUGA
Molecule: ribosomal RNA, 945 nt
Filed under: Triticum aestivum (bread wheat)
Lineage: Eukaryota; Viridiplantae; Streptophyta; Magnoliopsida; Poales; Poaceae
Description: partial small subunit ribosomal RNA
Source: RNAcentral